GGCGAACGGGUGAGUAACACGUGAGCAACCUGCCCCGGACUCUGGGAUAAGCGCUGGAAACGGCGUCUAAUACUGGAUACGAGCUGCAACCGCAUGGUUAGCAGUUGGAAAGAUUUUUUGGUCUGGGAUGGGCUCGCGGCCUAUCAGCUUGUUGGUGAGGUAAUGGCUCACCAAGGCGUCGACGGGUAGCCGGCCUGAGAGGGUGACCGGCCACACUGGGACUGAGACACGGCCCAGACUCCUACGGGAGGCAGCAGUGGGGAAUAUUGCACAAUGGGCGAAAGCCUGAUGCAGCAACGCCGCGUGAGGGACGACGGCCUUCGGGUUGUAAACCUCUUUUAGCAAGGAAGAAGCGAAAGUGACGGUACUUGCAGAAAAAGCGCCGGCUAACUACGUGCCAGCAGCCGCGGUAAUACGUAGGGCGCAAGCGUUAUCCGGAAUUAUUGGGCGUAAAGAGCUCGUAGGCG
This 467-nucleotide ribosomal RNA is filed under the name Microbacterium sp. SW2-8. RNAcentral's name for it is "bacterial SSU rRNA". It matches the Rfam family "Bacterial small subunit ribosomal RNA", at positions 97 to 577 of the family's 1533-position model. The record is from RNAcentral. Lineage: Bacteria; Bacillati; Actinomycetota; Actinomycetes; Micrococcales; Microbacteriaceae.